RNAcentral lists this transfer RNA (30 nucleotides) under Aphelandra leonardii. RNAcentral describes it as "partial tRNA-Ala". The record is from RNAcentral. Lineage: Eukaryota; Viridiplantae; Streptophyta; Magnoliopsida; Lamiales; Acanthaceae.
AUUUUUUGUGUUCAAUUCAACCACGAGGUA